AUACGGAGGGGGCUAGCGUUGUUCGGAAUUACUGGGCGUAAAGCGUACGCAGGCGGAUAUUUAAGUUAGGUGUGAAAUCCCAGGGCUCAACCCUGGAACUGCACUUAAAACUGGGUAUCUAGAGUUAUGGAGAGGUAAGUGGAAUUCCUAGUGUAGAGGUGAAAUUCGUAGAUAUUCGGAGGAACACCAGAGGCGAAGGCGGCUUACUGGACAUAUACUGACGCUGAGGUACGAAAGUGUGGGGAGCAAACGGGAUUAGAAACCCUAGUAGUCC
RNAcentral lists this ribosomal RNA (274 nucleotides) under uncultured bacterium. RNAcentral's name for it is "partial 16S ribosomal RNA". It matches the Rfam family "Bacterial small subunit ribosomal RNA", at positions 523 to 796 of the family's 1533-position model. The record is from RNAcentral.